AUUAGAAGUAUUUUAUUGAAUUCCUAUGCAUGCACAAUUUAUGUUAUAUGAGCCCGCUUAGCUCAGAGGUUAGAG
RNAcentral lists this transfer RNA (75 nucleotides) under Julbernardia paniculata. RNAcentral's name for it is "tRNA-Thr". Lineage: Eukaryota; Viridiplantae; Streptophyta; Magnoliopsida; Fabales; Fabaceae. The record is from RNAcentral.